This 31-nucleotide non-coding RNA is filed under the name Mus musculus (house mouse). Lineage: Eukaryota; Metazoa; Chordata; Mammalia; Rodentia; Muridae. The record is from RNAcentral.
GCAUUAUUUUCACACAGCCUGUAUUAGGUUC